This 29-nucleotide small RNA is filed under the name Bombyx mori (domestic silkworm). RNAcentral describes it as "ovarian small RNA-19689". The record is from RNAcentral. Lineage: Eukaryota; Metazoa; Arthropoda; Insecta; Lepidoptera; Bombycidae.
UAAUCUAUGGUAAUCUGCAAUUUUCAGGA